CGGUUGUCGAAGCCGGUCAAAAAUAACCUUCUUGGUUAUCAACAAUUUACAACUGUAGAUAGUGGUGAAGGAUCGAAUCCACAGAGAAUUGAGAACCUAUUUAUUUUUCUCAACAAGACCAAGAGAAUUAACUGAAAUAAUAAUAAACUAAAAAAAUGAGAUAAACACUGAAAGUGGGAUCAAAUGAGAUAAACAAAAAAUGAGAUAAAAAUAAAUUGCAAUAAAAGUAAAAUGGAGGGUUUGAGAUUGAUUUAAUUAAUAAACUACUAAAAGCAAUUAAAAUAAACGAAUAAUAAAAUAAAAGAGAAAUAAAUAAUAAAAAAACUCUAGUUGAAGUAUUGGAUCCACUUUAGUCAUUGGGAUUGAUCACAGACACUUUGUUCUUUUGGGUUAAUUCAAUAGAUUAGUUUAUGGAGAUGGAAGACGCUUCUCACCACCAUUAUCUCUCCUUAUGAUUAAACCAAUUAGGGAACGUCCUCUAAUUAAUUACUAAUCAACAAAUUGCCAAGGAACGUCCUUGGGCCUUAGGCAUCAAAACAAUUGUCAAUUGCAUUAAGAAAUAGAGA
This 566-nucleotide long non-coding RNA is filed under the name Manihot esculenta (cassava). RNAcentral's name for it is "long non-coding RNA (MESC_LNC000507)". The record is from RNAcentral. Lineage: Eukaryota; Viridiplantae; Streptophyta; Magnoliopsida; Malpighiales; Euphorbiaceae.